RNAcentral lists this ribosomal RNA (460 nucleotides) under uncultured bacterium. RNAcentral describes it as "partial 16S ribosomal RNA". It matches the Rfam family "Bacterial small subunit ribosomal RNA", at positions 338 to 795 of the family's 1533-position model. The record is from RNAcentral.
CCUACGGGAGGCAGCAGUGAGGAAUAUUGGUCCAUGGGCGGAAGCCUGACCCAGCCAAGUAGCGUGCAGGAUGACGGCCCUACGGGUUGUAAACUGCUUUUAUACGGGAAUAACGCGCCUUACGUGUAGGGCUUUGCAUGUACCGUAUGAAUAAGGACCGGCUAAUUCCGUGCCAGCAGCCGCGGUAAUACGGAAGGUCCGGGCGUUAUCCGGAUUUAUUGGGUUUAAAGGGAGCAUAGGCCGCAUGUCAAGCGUGCUGUGAAAUGUCCGGGCUCAACCCGGGCCUUGCAGCGCGAACUGGCGUGCUUGAGUCCGCGGAAAGCAGGCGGAAUUCGUCGUGUAGCGGUGAAAUGCUUAGAUAUGACGAAGAACCCCGAUUGCGAAGGCAGCUUGCUGCAGCGGAACUGACGCUGAUGCUCGAAAGCGCGGGUAUCGAACAGGAUUAGAUACCCUAGUAGUC